This 67-nucleotide transfer RNA is filed under the name Pholas orientalis. Its description in RNAcentral is "tRNA-Asp". It matches the Rfam family "tRNA". Rfam says of the family: Transfer RNA (tRNA) molecules are approximately 80 nucleotides in length. Their secondary structure includes four short double-helical elements and three loops (D, anti-codon, and T loops). Further hydrogen bonds mediate the characteristic L-shaped molecular structure. tRNAs have two regions of fundamental functional importance: the anti-codon, which is responsible for specific mRNA codon recognition, and the 3' end, to which the tRNAs corresponding amino acid is attached (by aminoacyl-tRNA synthetases). tRNAs cope with the degeneracy of the genetic code in two manners: having more than one tRNA (with a specific anti-codon) for a particular amino acid; and 'wobble' base-pairing, i.e. permitting non-standard base-pairing at the 3rd anti-codon position. The record is from RNAcentral. Lineage: Eukaryota; Metazoa; Mollusca; Bivalvia; Myida; Pholadidae.
GGGGAAAUAGUUAAUCUAUAAUAUCAGAUUGUCAAUCUGAAGUUGGUGUUUUGAUCACCUUUUCUUG